Molecule: non-coding RNA, 76 nt
Filed under: Insolitispirillum peregrinum
Lineage: Bacteria; Pseudomonadati; Pseudomonadota; Alphaproteobacteria; Rhodospirillales; Novispirillaceae
Source: RNAcentral
CAUAACGAACGUGGGAUUUGGCGACCGGCUUGCGGCCACGAAAAAACUUCCGCUAAAAGGUCCCGGCCCGGCAUCG